GAUGAACGCUGGCGGCGUGCCUAAUACAUGCAAGUCGAGCGAACGGACGAGAAGCUUGCUUCUCUGAUGUUAGCGGCGGACGGGUGAGUAACACGUGGAUAACCUACCUAUAAGACUGGGAUAACUUCGGGAAACCGGAGCUAAUACCGGAUAAUAUUUUGAACCGCAUGGUUCAAAAGUGAAAGACGGUUUUGCUGUCACUUAUAGAUGGAUCCGCGCUGCAUUAGCUAGUUGGUAAGGUAACGGCUUACCAAGGCAACGAUGCAUAGCCGACCUGAGAGGGUGAUCGGCCACACUGGAACUGAGACACGGUCCCGACUCCUACGGGAGGCAGCAGUAGGGAAUCUUCCGCAAUGGGCGAAAGCCUGACGGAGCAACGCCGCGUGAGUGAUGAAGGUCUUCGGAUCGUAAAACUCUGUUAUUAGGGAAGAACAUAUGUGUAAGUAACUGUGCACAUCUUGACGGUACCUAAUCAGAAAGCCACGGCUAACUACGUG
RNAcentral lists this ribosomal RNA (497 nucleotides) under uncultured bacterium. RNAcentral describes it as "partial 16S ribosomal RNA". It matches the Rfam family "Bacterial small subunit ribosomal RNA", at positions 28 to 507 of the family's 1533-position model. The record is from RNAcentral.